UUUUGUAUAAUGGGUCAGCGACUUAUAUUCUGUAGCAAGGUUAACCGAAUAGGGGAGCCGAAGGGAAACCGAGUCUUAACUGGGCGUUAAGUUGCAGGGUAUAGACCCGAAACCCGGUGAUCUAGCCAUGGGCAGGUUGAAGGUUGGGUAACACUAACUGGAGGACCGAACCGACUAAUGUUGAAAAAUUAGCGGAUGACUUGUGGCUGGGGGUGAAAGGCCAAUCAAACCGGGAGAUAGCUGGUUCUCCCCGAAAGCUAUUUAGGUAGCGCCUCGUGAAUUCAUCUCCGGGGGUAGAGCACUGUUUCGGCAAGGGGGUCAUCCCGACUUACCAACCCGAUGCAAACUGCGAAUACCGGAGAAUGUUAUCACGGGAGACACACGGCGGGUGCUAACGUCCGUCGUGAAGAGGGAAACAACCCAGACCGCCAGCUAAGGUCCCAAAGUCAUGGUUAAGUGGGAAACGAUGUGGGAAGGCCCAGACAGCCAGGAUGUUGGCUUAGAAGCAGCCAUCAUUUAAAGAAAGCGUA
RNAcentral lists this ribosomal RNA (530 nucleotides) under Escherichia coli. RNAcentral's name for it is "partial 23S ribosomal RNA". It matches the Rfam family "Bacterial large subunit ribosomal RNA", at positions 606 to 1136 of the family's 2925-position model. Lineage: Bacteria; Pseudomonadati; Pseudomonadota; Gammaproteobacteria; Enterobacterales; Enterobacteriaceae. The record is from RNAcentral.